Molecule: ribosomal RNA, 467 nt
Filed under: uncultured bacterium
Lineage: Bacteria
Description: partial 16S ribosomal RNA
Rfam family: Bacterial small subunit ribosomal RNA
Source: RNAcentral
GAUGAACGCUGGCGGCGCGCCUAACACAUGCAAGUCGAACGAUUAAAGCACCUUCGGGUGUGUAUAAAGUGGCGAACGGCUGAGUAACACGUGGGCAACCUGCCCCUUUCAUUGGGAUAGCCACGGGAAACCGUGGAUAAUACCGAAUACUUCGAGACUUCCGCAUGGAAGGCUCGAGAAAGCUCCGGCGGAGAGGGAUGGGCCCGCGGCCUGUUAGCUUGUUGGUGGGGUAACGGCCUACCAAGGCAAUGAUGGGUAGCUGGGUUGAGAGACCGACCAGCCAGAUUGGGACUGAGACACGGCCCAGACUCCUACGGGAGGCAGCAGUGGGGAAUCUUGCACAAUGGGCGAAAGCCUGAUGCAGCGACGCCGCGUGCGGGAUGAAGGCCUUCGGGUUGUAAACCGCUUUCAGCAGGGACGAGGCGAAAGUGACGGUACCUGCAGAAGAAGCCCCGGCUAACUACGUG